Molecule: long non-coding RNA, 1113 nt
Filed under: Bemisia tabaci
Lineage: Eukaryota; Metazoa; Arthropoda; Insecta; Hemiptera; Aleyrodidae
Description: lncRNA ENSASIAIIG010176
Source: RNAcentral
GCGAGUGCACUGAAUCCAAUUGUAAGAAGUCGGCCGUAGACAUGCCUCUGGGUAAUGACUUCACUUGUGAUCUAUUCCGAAGAAUCUGCGUGUUUUCAAUUUGUGCACACUUGAGUUUAGCGGAAAAUAAAAACGGCCAUGGCAAAGGCCACGAUAUUAAAUCCAGAAAAGGAGCAGAGGAACGGAAUCUCACGGUUGAAGCGGAGAGACCUCACUAGACGUUGUGGAAUAUGUUCGACCCGGAGCUGCACAUGCACAAGGACAGGAUUGAAAAUCCAUUCUAAAACCACAGUGAGAUCUUGCGUUCACCCCCGGACCCCGAAGACGAAGUUGAGCAGACUCGACCUUUGCCGAGCUGCGCCUAUUGCGCUUAUCUGGCCCUAUUUGAGGAUGCAUCAAGUGGUCCCCGAUGUUGUGCCCCUGGUAGCGACGGAUGCCAUUAAGAAAACCAUUGACCGCAUUUCACACUCCUGAAUAUGAAUGGAAGUCACAAACAACAUUAGUAAAAUAGCACCUGGCAACGUCGAGGAUGAAUCGAUGUAUCGAUGGAUUAACACGUGCGUGGGCGCCAUCUUGCCCCCACUCCAAAAUGAUGAAAAUGUGUCCCCGCGCUAUUGGUUAACGAAAGCGACAGACCCGCGCCGCAAAGCGAUGCGCCCGCUUCACAUCGACUCUCCCCCACCAGGCCGCCAGUGAUGCCUCCCGCCUGCGAGAGGUAAACGAACAGGAACCCACAUGCCAUCAAAAAUCGUCUAGUACGCACCGUUUUCGAGAUAUCGAGUAAAAACCAGCGAGUAUCGAUAUUUUCCCUUUAAAUCUAUGGUAAAGUAUCGAAAUCAUCGACCAGCGACAUUCACAUACAAAUUUGUGGUAAGUAAUCGAAAUCAUCGACUAUCGUUACACACACCGAUCUCAUGUUGUCAAGUUUCAUCGGUAAUUAACUCCCUACCAACGCUGUUGCAUAACCUACAAGUUGAAGGGGCAUCAUACACCAUUGCAUAACUCGCAGAUGGGUCAUUCCACGUCAACGCAACCAAGGUCGGAACCCGACCCCCUCCGAUUUGGCUGAAAAUUGGUAUACGGGGUCUUUACAUCAUUCUAAGAAACUAAUUU